GAUGAACGCUGGCGGCGUGCCUAAUACAUGCAAGUCGAGCGAACAGACGAGAGUGCUUGCACUCUCUGACGUUAGCGGCGGACGGGCGAGUAACACGUGGGUAACCUACCUAUAAGACUGGGAUAACUUCGGGAAACCGGAGCUAAUACCGGAUAAUAUUUAGCUUCGCAUGAAGCAAUAGUGAAAGACGGUUCUGCUGUCACUUAUAGAUGGACCCGCGGUGUAUUAGCUAGUUGGUGGGGUAACGGCUCACCAAGGCAACGAUACAUAGCCGACCUGAGAGGGUGAUCGGCCACACUGGGACUGAGACACGGCCCAGACUCCUACGGGAGGCAGCAGUAGGGAAUCUUCCGCAAUGGACGAAAGUCUGACGGAGCAAUGCCGCGUGAGUGAAGAAGGUUUUCGGAUCGUAAAACUCUGUUGUAAGGGAAGAACAAGUACGUUAGUAACUGAACGUACCUUGACGGUACCUGACCAGAAAGCCACGGCUAACUACGUG
RNAcentral lists this ribosomal RNA (499 nucleotides) under uncultured bacterium. RNAcentral describes it as "partial 16S ribosomal RNA". It matches the Rfam family "Bacterial small subunit ribosomal RNA", at positions 28 to 507 of the family's 1533-position model. The record is from RNAcentral.